Molecule: long non-coding RNA, 4537 nt
Organism: Peromyscus eremicus (cactus mouse)
Lineage: Eukaryota; Metazoa; Chordata; Mammalia; Rodentia; Cricetidae
Exons: 3
Source: RefSeq, a predicted model, not a curated record
CGUGUGCUUCCCGGAUCCUGAAUGCCUCCUUCUCACGGAGUCCAUGUCUUUACAUGGAUGGUGGGUAUGUCCUCAUGCAUUUGGCCAGACACUAGCAUCUGCAUUGGCCACAUUGCCUGCUGAUGCUAAUCCUGCAGCCUACCCUAAUUCUUGGAGUUCUUGACCCAUUUCUCAUUGUAGGAUAACAAGUAUCUUGACUGUAAUCUAUUAAUUGAAUAAUUGAAUAAACUUGUUUCCCUCCAGCGCAAGCAUACUGUUUGCACACAGUGUCAUCCCAGGCCCUCCGGCUAUGGAAGGCCUGCCAGAUAUGUUUAUUAAACCCCCUGUGCCUGGAAAGAACACAGAAAGCUGUCAUCUAGAGCAAUACAAAAGUGCCUAUCUCAGCUGGAGAUCUCGCUGUUAUGAAUAAAGGAAGAGUUUGUGGUACAGUUUUGAGAUGUAAAGAGAAAAAGCUUCCCCACAGUGCAAAUGUGUUGUAACCCUCAGGCGAGAAGAAAAAUAUUGAAUUGUUGCUGGCAGUACAAUGUAAUUACUGAGUUAGUGGCGGUUAUGUUUCUAAGCUUCUUAAGGUAGAAAUCACAUUAAUUUGGCCUUCUCCAAAGGACAUUCCAGGUUGUUAAACUGAACUGUUGAAACAUUUCUCACUAAUGAACCUGGCCAAUGAACGGCCAUUUUCACAUAAGUCAAAUGCUGGACAAGUUGGCGGCGAACAAGGAGAUGUGCUACCGAGGCAGGCUUUGUUAGCAAGCAGCCGCACUGCCUCGGGAGGUGUUUUCCAAUUCCUGCUGUUCAGACAUCUGACCCAGGCUGCAAAGGAGUGGGAGGCACGAGGCAGACAAUGGUGCUGUCCUCAGAAGUGAUGGGAGGGGACCUGGUGUCUCACUGGAGGACGGAGCCCCUCAUGGCACACACCCGAGCAUUCCAAGAUGCCAUCCUGUGAACGAACAGACACUCAGCUCUUGAAAAAUGGGGUCUUCUGUCCCUUCCCUGGGUCCUCAAGCUGCAGGCAUUUCCAGGGUCAUAGCAGACCCUGGCUCAGAAGGACAUCACGACAGCCAGGCAGAACCAGUGGGUCUGCCACCAUCUCAGACGCUAGGUCACCCUGGGGCAGUCGGCACUGCUUCCUGCAGCCCUGUGUCCCUGCAAAGCGUCCUCAGUGAAGGUGGCAGGUCAGAAAAGUAGAUGGCCACUCCCCACCCCCACCCAUGUGACUUGGAAGGUUCUGUGUCCUGAAAGCAGAAGGAGGUUUUCCACGGGUGAGUGUAUUUGCUGCGCACAGUCCUGGGUGGAGCUGGGACACCGUGUUUAACAAGGGCAUCGGUGGGAGCUGGAGGAAGGCAGGAUCCCUUGAAGGAUUGUGUUUCCAUAUGGACGCAGGAACCCAAGGACGCAUGCUGUAGUGAGGAGGUGUGCUGUAGUGAGGAGGUGUGCUGUAGUGGAGCGGGGUCACUGAAGCCUCACUGGCCUGCACUCACUCACGCAGACACGUGGACACAUGCAGACACGUCGACACAGGGCUCACCCUUUCAUCACUUGGAGGUCAGUGGUCAUGUGAUUUGGACCACUGAGGACUGGAGAAUCCAGAGGCUGAGUGCCUGAGGAGUGCUUGCAAGCUGUUGCAGGGUUUGUGGCUUUACAGGCCACACAGGGCCUCGCUGAGGACGACACACUGGGAAGCCACGCACUUGGCCGGGCUUUGCCUCUGUUCUCAGAGGAUCCUGCCAGGUAAGAGCUUCAUUCCUACCUCAGCUUGCUUUUGUGCUUUCAUUAUAUUAUGGUGUCUAGGUUUUGCAUAUGUUGGGGGUUUGAAUUUUUUUAACCUGUCUUUAAUCCCAUCUUGUCUGAUGAGCUCCUGACUCAGCCUAUCUAUAUCUUUAAUUGAUGCUCUCUUCAACUCUGUGUGCUAAAUUGCAGUUCCACAAUCUACCUGAGAGAUAGACAGUUCAAUCAAUGUACAAGCUACUCUACUUAUUUUAAAUAAAUGCCUUUCAGACUUAGUAAACACCAUUAGGGGAAACAUGGAUCGUUUCAAAUAAGGUAACUGAUUUAUAUUUCUUCAAAUGAAACCCCUAAACGCACCUAAGUAAAGAAAUACUUACAUGAACCCUAGUAAACUGCUUUUUGUGUGGAGUGUGUCUUGGCUUUCAGAACCAUGUAGUUGAUCCAGAUGCCUUGAGCAACAAAUGACAAGUGUGCCCUUGCUGGUAGCUGAUAAAUGUUCUGGUACUCUUUGUAAGGUUCUAAGUUUAGGACGCCAAGAUAGCCUGCUUCUGAUGCUAUACCUAACAUGUAGUUAUCACAAACUUAGUUAAUAUGACAUUUAACAGUGGAGAGCUCAAGGGCUUUAGCUUUUAUUCUUUUCAAACAUGUAUGUAAAGGGAAUACCAAAUAAUCACUGAGCUUAGUGAAUAAUUGUAAAGGGUUUUGUUCUACUUCCAGAACUUCCUCACUGUAGCCGUAGAUGAGAAAUGGUCCCCAUCUCAUUUCCGAGUGAUUUAAUGUUUGGUGACUCUCCUGCUGCACCCAAAAAAGAAAAGGGAAUACAUUUCACUCUCCUUGUACCACACUCUACAGGGGCAUGUCCUUAGUGCAGGGCUCCUUCGAUCAUUGGGAUGCUCAUACUUUGUCUGAACGUGGAUAACUACCUAAAUAAAUCAAGAAAACAAACAAACAACCAUUUAAGCACCUUUGUUUUCUUCCUGACUGGUCCUUCCUCUUUGUGGUCCAAGCUGAAACCUGCACAUUUUCCAGUGAGUGGCCUGGUCAUCAUGGACCUGCAAGGCUGGAGCUACUGGUUUUCCAUGGAUCUGAUUAGGAAGUGAGUACCAGCUCCUUCAGCACUGGUUCUCAUUUACCUGAAAAUGACCUUUUUCUACCUCUCAAAAGAAAGGGUUUAAGGUGGGGAUGCCAAGGCAGCAAUACUACAUUUUAUUUGAAUACAUGGGCUUUGAAAUCAGACAAAUGUAGAGUAAGCAGUUAAUUACCCACCUUACCUUGAGUAAGACUGACUUUGGUUUAAAGAUCUACCCUGUGCUUCACGGGAUAAUAAUGAGAAUUAGUUCUAUUUUCCUUUUUUUCUUUGUUGUGGUCCCCGGGAUGGAGGCCAGGGUUCUGCACGCGCUGGGCAAAUGCUCUCCCACUGAGCAACAUCCGCAGACAUUCAUGGACUAUGAGAUAGAUAGAUUCUCACUAUGUUGCCCAGGCUGUCCUUGAACUUGCAAUCCCCCAGCCUCUCAAUUUGCUGGGGUUCUCCUAUACCUAGCAAUGAGAACUAUGUGAGUUGUUUUGAAAAUGAAUUGUAUCAUGAGCAGAAAGCCUCAGGACAGUUCUGAGUAAAUGUGCAGUAAAGGGGACAAGCCGUCUAGUCCUGGCCACCACACUUCCCACUGUGGCAGCUCAUUCAAAUGCAGGUUGUCUCAGAGAGCUCGAGUAAUGGAAGCAGAGUAAUGGACCAGGUUUACCACCCAGAUUCACCCUUACAUCUCAGAUGGCCCAGCUCAUUUGUUGUCUUUUCCUAUUCAGCUGUGCAGUAUCAUUCUUAUUUAGUCCUAAAAUCCCAGAGGCAAUUCCAAUAGCUCCCAACUUCCUUUAACGCUGGUUAGCAAGAGAGGGAUGAGCUCGGCAUCUAAACACUAUAGUUGAUCACAGACCUAACACUUAUUCGAGGCACUAAGGGACAAGUCAGUCACUUAAUUGUCCUUAUGUGUGCCACGUGACUGAAAGUGCUAAGAGACUGGUGUAAUGCUUUGACUAUGACAUGUCCCUCGCAGUCUUUGGUCCCCAGCUGGGUGUGCUGGUUGGGCAGGUUUAGGAGGUGUGGCCUUGCUAAAGGAAGUGUGUUACUGGAGGGUGGGCUGUGAGGUCUCAAAAGCCCAUGCCAUCGCCAGUGUGCUCUCUCGGCUUCCUGCUUGCAAGUCAAGAUGGGAGUCCUCAGCCUGCUGCCUCUUCUCCGCCAUGAUGGAUGAACUAUGAGCCCAAAUAACCUCCUUCUUCUGUAAGUUGCCUUGGCUGUGGUGUUUUAUUACAGCAACAGAAAAGUACCUAACAACUGGGAGUUGUGAUUUAAACGAGGUUUAUUUUAUUUUUACUUAUGUUUAUGGGUGUGCAUGCACACAUGUGUGCAGCUGCUGGUGGAGACUGGAAGAGGGUGAUAGAUCCCAGAAACCUGGAAUUACAGGAGGUUGUAGCCAGCCAAGUGAGGGUACUGGAAGCCAAAAUCAGGUCUUUGAAAGAGCAGUAUGUGUUCUGAACAGCCAAGUCAUCUCUCCAGCUAGGCAGGCCCUGCUGGGUGUAGAGCUACAACUACGCGUUCUUUCUAUUAAAGGCAAAGAGAAGCUCACAGUCUUUUUGUUUGUUUGUUUUCUGAGACAGGGUUUCUCUGUGUAGCUUUGUGACUUUCCUGGAUCUCACUCUGUAGCCCAGGCUGGCCUCGAACUCACAGAGAUCCGCCUGCCUCUGCCUCCCGAAGAAGCUUGCAGUGUUAUUCAGUGGGACAUCACUAGCAGGAGGCUGCUCAGGACAGAGGAAGAAAUGCAUG